RNAcentral lists this ribosomal RNA (465 nucleotides) under uncultured bacterium. RNAcentral's name for it is "partial 16S ribosomal RNA". It matches the Rfam family "Bacterial small subunit ribosomal RNA", at positions 338 to 795 of the family's 1533-position model. The record is from RNAcentral.
CCUACGGGAGGCAGCAGUGGGGAAUUUUGCGCAAUGCUCGUAAGAGUGACGCAGCGACGCCGCGUGAAUGACGAAGGCCUUCGGGUCGUAAAGUUCUUUCGACAGGGAAGAAAAUGCCUAUAAGUAACUGUGUAUGUAUUGACGGUACCUGUAUAAGCAGCCCCGGCUAACUCCGUGCCAGCAGCCGCGGUAAUACGGAGGGGGCGAGCGUUGUUCGGAGGGACUGGGCGUAAAGAGCACGUAGGCGGUGUUGUAAGUCAUUAGUCAAAGACUAGAGCUCAACUUUAGUAAGGCUGGUGAUACUAUAAUACUAGAGUAUCAGAGAGGAUUGCAGAAUUCCUGGUGUAGCGGUGAAAUGCGUAGAUAUCAGGAGGAAUACCGUUAGCGAAGGCGGCAAUCUGGCUGGAAACUGACGCUGAGGUGCGAAAGCGUGGGUAGCAAACAGGAUUAGAUACCCUAGUAGUC